RNAcentral lists this ribosomal RNA (690 nucleotides) under Lysobacteraceae bacterium MR-I20. RNAcentral's name for it is "bacterial SSU rRNA". It matches the Rfam family "Bacterial small subunit ribosomal RNA", at positions 74 to 757 of the family's 1533-position model. The record is from RNAcentral. Lineage: Bacteria; Pseudomonadati; Pseudomonadota; Gammaproteobacteria; Lysobacterales; Lysobacteraceae.
AGGAGCUUGCUCCUUGGGUGGCGAGUGGCGGACGGGUGAGGAAUACAUCGGAAUCUACUUUUUCGUGGGGGAUAACGUAGGGAAACUUACGCUAAUACCGCAUACGACCUACGGGUGAAAGCAGGGGACCUUCGGGCCUUGCGCGAUUGAAUGAGCCGAUGUCGGAUUAGCUAGUUGGCGGGGUAAAGGCCCACCAAGGCGACGAUCCGUAGCUGGUCUGAGAGGAUGAUCAGCCACACUGGAACUGAGACACGGUCCAGACUCCUACGGGAGGCAGCAGUGGGGAAUAUUGGACAAUGGGCGCAAGCCUGAUCCAGCCAUACCGCGUGGGUGAAGAAGGCCUUCGGGUUGUAAAGCCCUUUUGUUGGGAAAGAAAUCCAGCCGGCUAAUACCUGGUUGGGAUGACGGUACCCAAAGAAUAAGCACCGGCUAACUUCGUGCCAGCAGCCGCGGUAAUACGAAGGGUGCAAGCGUUACUCGGAAUUACUGGGCGUAAAGCGUGCGUAGGUGGUUGUUUAAGUCUGUUGUGAAAGCCCUGGGCUCAACCUGGGAACUGCAGUGGAAACUGGACAACUAGAGUGUGGUAGAGGGUAGCGGAAUUCCCGGUGUAGCAGUGAAAUGCGUAGAGAUCGGGAGGAACAUCCAUGGCGAAGGCAGCUACCUGGACCAACACUGACACUGAGGCACGAA